This 484-nucleotide ribosomal RNA is filed under the name uncultured bacterium. RNAcentral describes it as "partial 16S ribosomal RNA". It matches the Rfam family "Bacterial small subunit ribosomal RNA", at positions 28 to 507 of the family's 1533-position model. The record is from RNAcentral.
AUUGAACGCUGGCGGCAUGCUUUACACAUGCAAGUCGAACGGCAGCGCGGGCUUCGGCCUGGCGGCGAGUGGCGAACGGGUGAGUAAUGCAUCGGAACGUGCCCAGUAGUGGGGGAUAGCCCCGCGAAAGCCGGAUUAAUACCGCAUACGACCUGAGGGUGAAAGCGGGGGACCGAAAGGCCUCGCGCUAUUGGAGCGGCCGAUGUCGGAUUAGCUAGUUGGUGGGGUAAAGGCUUACCAAGGCGACGAUCCGUAGCUGGUCUGAGAGGACGACCAGCCACACUGGGACUGAGACACGGCCCAGACUCCUACGGGAGGCAGCAGUGGGGAAUGUUGGACAAUGGGGGCAACCCUGAUCCAGCCAUGCCGCGUGCGUGAAGAAGGCCUUCGGGUUGUAAAGCGCUUUUGUUCGGGAAGAAAGCCUCUGGGCUAAUACCCCGGGGGGAUGACGGUACCGGAAGAAUAAGCACCGGCUAACUACGUG